GAAGGUAUCGCUCAGGGGUAGAGCACGUGCUUAGCAUGCAUGAGGUCCUGGGUUCAAUCCCCAGUGCCUCCA
RNAcentral lists this transfer RNA (72 nucleotides) under Camelus bactrianus (Bactrian camel). It matches the Rfam family "tRNA". Rfam says of the family: Transfer RNA (tRNA) molecules are approximately 80 nucleotides in length. Their secondary structure includes four short double-helical elements and three loops (D, anti-codon, and T loops). Lineage: Eukaryota; Metazoa; Chordata; Mammalia; Artiodactyla; Camelidae. RNAcentral also lists the same sequence under 2 other names. The record is from Rfam by way of RNAcentral.